RNAcentral lists this ribosomal RNA (449 nucleotides) under uncultured bacterium. Its description in RNAcentral is "partial 16S ribosomal RNA". It matches the Rfam family "Bacterial small subunit ribosomal RNA", at positions 29 to 523 of the family's 1533-position model. The record is from RNAcentral.
AACGAACGCUGGCGGCAGGCUUAACACAUGCAAGUCGAACGAGAUCUUCGGAUCUAGUGGCAGACGGGUGAGGAACACGUGGGAACAUCCCUUUCAGUUCGGAAUAACGUUGGGAAACUAACGCUAAUACCGGAUACGUCCUUCGGGAGAAAGAUUUAUCGCUGAAAGAUUGGCCCGCGUCUGAUUAGCUAGUUGGUGAGGUAACGGCUCACCAAGGCUACGAUCAGUAGCUGAUCUGAGAGGAUGAUCAGCCACAUUGGGACUGAGACGCGGCCCAAACUCCUACGGGAGGCAGCAGUGGGGAAUAUUGGACAGUGGGCGCAAGCCUGAUCCAGCCAUGCCGCGUGAGUGAUGACGGCCUUCGGGUUGUAAAGCUCUUUUGUCCGGGAAGAUAAUGACUGUACCGGAAGAAUAAGCCCCGGCAAACUUCGUGCCAGCCGCCGCCGUAA